UUACUCAAUAUCGAACGAACGUAUCUCC
RNAcentral lists this small RNA (28 nucleotides) under Bombyx mori (domestic silkworm). RNAcentral describes it as "piRNA piR-bmo-2157731". Lineage: Eukaryota; Metazoa; Arthropoda; Insecta; Lepidoptera; Bombycidae. The record is from RNAcentral.